This 507-nucleotide ribosomal RNA is filed under the name Enterobacter ludwigii. RNAcentral describes it as "partial 23S ribosomal RNA". It matches the Rfam family "Bacterial large subunit ribosomal RNA", at positions 1241 to 1746 of the family's 2925-position model. The record is from RNAcentral. Lineage: Bacteria; Pseudomonadati; Pseudomonadota; Gammaproteobacteria; Enterobacterales; Enterobacteriaceae.
CUGUAAGCCGUUGAAGGUGUCCUGUGAGGGGUGCUGGAGGUAUCAGAAGUGCGAAUGCUGACAUAAGUAACGAUAAAGCGGGUGAAAAGCCCGCUCGCCGGAAGACCAAGGGUUCCUGUCCAACGUUAAUCGGGGCAGGGUGAGUCGACCCCUAAGGCGAGGCCGAAAGGCGUAGUCGAUGGGAAACAGGUUAAUAUUCCUGUACUUGGUGUUACUGCGAAGGGGGGACGGAGAAGGCUAUGUUAGCCGGGCGACGGUUGUCCCGGUUUAAGCAUGUAGGCGGAGGUUCCAGGUAAAUCCGGUUCCUUGUUAACGCUGAGGUGUGAUGACGAGGCACUACGGUGCUGAAGUAACAAAUGCCCUGCUUCCAGGAAAAGCCUCUAAGCAUCAGGUAACAUCAAAUCGUACCCCAAACCGACACAGGUGGUCAGGUAGAGAAUACCAAGGCGCUUGAGAGAACUCGGGUGAAGGAACUAGGCAAAAUGGUGCCGUAACUUCGGGAGAAGG